AUAUCCAUUCAUCUUUAUAUUUCUAGUGAUCUUAACUCAAUGCUUUUAUUCAAUAAGCAGUAGUUGAUUGAUAGUCAUUUAAACAUAUGCUGACAGUUUAUUUCCAUUGUUCAUAUUUUGAAAUAUUCUAGCAUAUUAAACAUCCCUGUGAUAUGUCUUAUAGUGAUUGGCAAGCUUUCUUAAUCAAUACAGCCUAUAAUGGACUUAUUAAGAUCAGACUUGGUUGGGUUCCAUUUUGACACAUUUGAGUAAUACCUUUUUUAUCCACUCUGAUUUUAAGGCUUGGCAAUCUUAAUGGCAUUUCUGAUUCACCUUUCUGUAGCUUAAUGCAAUAUCAAAUAGAGGACAUAAUGAGUAGAAAUGUAUUUGAGGGUAUAAAUGAGCCCCUAAAUUAUCACUCCAUUCUAUGACAUUAGGUAGUUAAAAUCUAUUCCAAUUAAACUCUUUUGAGAUAGUAAUUUAUGAUGAAAAGACUGUGAAUGUUCAAAAAUAGUUAAAUGCUCAGAAGCUUUAUUCUAAUAAAAACAUAUAAGUCUAAAAGAGAUUUCAGAAUAUAUCUACAAGAAGCAAAAUCUGCUUGUGGUAGGACUUAUUAAUAACAUUAAGUUUGAAAUAAAGUAUUCAUACAUUUAAAAAUAUUGCUAAAUUUACACUAAAAAAUUGAGUCAUCUUUUGAAGAAUAGUUAAUUAACAUAUUCAUGCAAAUUAAUAUGGGUAUGGUUAAGAGAUUUAGCAGAACCUCAAAGAUUUUCAAAAUUUACUUAAUUUUUUUAAUAUACGUUUACAUUUCUUUCUUGUUUCAAAUUUUGCUGCAUAUGUGUUAAGUGUAGCUAGUCAGGAUGGGAAUGUUGUUUCAUGGAAAUAUGAAGAUAAAGAUUAAAUUUUUUAAUUUGUUUUAGAAAACCGCCUAGAACUUCAGUUCCCAAAGUGAGUUCCAUGAAGUAUUAAGUUUGUAUAAAUUAUAGUCAAUGUAUAUUUUCAGUGCCUACAAUGUGCUGGGUAGGAACAAAACAAAGUGCCCAUCCUUGUGGAACUCAUGUCCUAUUGAGGGACUCAGAUCUCACACAAAGGAACAGGCAUGCACAUGAUAUAUCAGAUUAUGACAAGUGCUGGGAAGAAGAAUGAGGUAGCCUAAGACAAUGGAGCACAGUGGUAUAAGGGUUUCCAUCCAUACAGGAUAUUCAGGGAAGGCCUCUCAGAUAAGAGGUUAUUUGAGCAGAAUGAGGAAGGCAUGGGAUGUCUAGGGGCUGAGGGAUACUAGAAAAGCAAAAAAGAACAAAUUUAAAACCCAGGAGGUAUUAGUGUCCUUGGAAAAUUGUAGGAAGGUCAAGGACGCCAGAAUGGCCGGAAUGAAGAGAGGAGGAAUAGAAGAUAAAGCCAAAAGCCUUUGGGAGGCUUAUAGACAUGGUAAGGAUUUUGGAUUUUUUUUUUUUUCUGAAUGGGGAAGAUGGUCAUUGGAGGAUUGUAAACAGAAAAGUGAAAAAGUAAUUAGAUAAUUACUAGUCAACAUUGUUGCCUAAUAAUAUUAGCUUUUCAUUAGAUAUAUAUUAAAAUAAAUUAUUGGAUGAAUUGAAUACUUAUUGUAAGCUAUAUACCAAAUUUGAACAUUUCCAUUUCUCUUAGUGAUUGUUUUGCCCUAAUUUUGUGAAUCUCAAUGCACAGUAUAUUUUCUACUAAUGUUUUAUAAAUAUCUUGUACAUUUCAACAUUUCAAGGUAAAAUCUGAAAUGUUGGUCUGGAGAAAUACUUUGAGUAUCUACCAUGAGCCAGGUAUAAGCUUUUGAUAGAAGUAAGAGAUAAUUUUCUUAUGUUUUAUUGAAAUGGGUUUCUUGAAAUGUGAAAAUUUAUAACAGUUUGAAAAAAGAGAUACUAAGUAUAUACAAGUUAUACAGACAACUCCAAGUAUUAAGGGAUUGACAAAGCACUGAGACAGAGAAGAUGUCAAUGGAAAUUCAAUGCCUGAGCUAACUUUUGAAAAGCAAAUAGGAGUUUUAGGGGAGGACAAAUUGGGUGAAUGCACUGAAAUUGGAAAUAGUCUGUAUAAUGACAUUGAUCUAUGAGUCUGAAGACCUUUAAUUAGCUAGGCAAACAUUUAAUUGUCUUUUUCACCUAUAAAUAUAAAGCAGUUGGGAAUAAGACACUAAGGAGUGGUGGGCCUGUGGUGAACUGGACAAUGCAUGUCCAUCUUAAAUAAGUACAAAUGUGUUGCUGUCACACACACACACACACACACACACACAUACACACACACAUAUGCACAUGCACAUAUAUACACUUUACAACAAUCAAACAAAAUGCAUCUUUAGGCUAGAUUUAUAUAGAUUUACUUAUUUGUGUCUCCAGCAUUGGUAUAAAGGUUGGAAAAACGAGUGGCUACUAAUAGACUGAUAGGCAACAAUUAUGUAAAAUUGGAACUUAGGAGAACAUCAACAUGAGACUAUUUUGGAGAACCAUACUUUGGUGCCCAAGUAAAGGAUAAAUUAGAAGGAGGAAUAAGGAUAACUGUUAGUUUUCUCUAUUGGGAUAGCUCAGGAUAGCAAACUUAUAAACAUGGUAGUAAGAGCAUAUUGAAAAAAAUUGAUCACUUUAUGGAAGUCUGAUUUACUACGUACUUCUACAUGAGAUAUGAUGAAUACAGGACAAUGUAGGAUAAGUGAAUUUUCUGAUGUGGAGGCCUAGGUGAGUGGUACCAAUGGAAACAAGAAAAGAGCUAUAGGAGGCUGAUCAAAGUUAGGGAGAAUAAACGUAACUCUGGUUAUCUUUUAUCUGCUACCAGAAUGUACAACUUCUAUUUGAGAUCUUCAAAUAUUAAAUUUAGUUUUAUUAAGCAUAUUUGAAACAAGUAUAUUUGAUAUUAUAAACAUUGUAAUAUUUGAGAUUUGUAGCACUGUAAUGGUAUAGAUUAUAAAAUAGACAACUUUACAAAUGCUGAAAUUGAAUACGUUUCAAAAUAUGAUUUUAUACAACAUUACUUAAGAAAGUUUUAUAAUAAUUAAGAUAAUGGAAAGCUGUAGUACAAGAAAUCUACAAGUGUCCUUAGAGAUUAUCUAAGCCAUUAAAUUUGUUUUAUAGCUGAGAAAACAAAGGCACAAAAAUAUUCAGGUGACUUUACAAGAUUAGAGAGGUAGGUGGUAGCAAAAUCAUAUAAUUUAAAUUCUGAGGAAAGAUAGUGAAGUUAGUAAACUUACUAGUAUGUUCUUAAUGUGGAUUUAAAAAAAAGUAGUGAGUUAUGAUACAUCACAAAAAUUAUGAGCAGAAAUUUCCCACAGAACAUCCUUUUUUAUUCACUAUUUUGAUAAAAUAUCUCCAUUACUUAUGCAGGUCUAAAAACCAAACAUCCCAUUGUUUGGUAUUAUCAGGAUUCAAUGGGCCUAAAAUGUAUCUCUUUUUUAUUUUAUUUUAUUAAUUUAUUUUAUUUUUUGUCUUUUUAGGGCUGCACCUGAGGCAUAUGGAGGUUCCCAGGCUAGGGGUCUAAUCGGAGCUGUUCCUGCUGGCCUACGUAUGCCAGAGCCACAGCAAUGCCAGAUCUGAGCCAUGGCUGCGACCUACACCACAGCUCACCGCAACACUGGAUCCUUAACCCACUGAGUGAGGCCCAGGGGUCAAACCUGCAACCUCGUGGUUCCUAGUCAGAUUUGUUUCCGCUGCACCAUUAUGGGAACUCCUCUUCUGUAUUUAAUUUAGAAAACACAGCACUGCUGACUGCUCUAAAUUGUAAACUUGAUGGUGACAAUGGUGGAUAUUACAGAGAUAAGAUGAAAACUGGCUAUACAAUUUUUAAAAAUUGUAAUAAAUGUCGAUUAUAAGCUUUCUGUGUCAUUCAACUGGACAUUUGCUGAAGUGAAAUGACUUUGCAGUUGAUUAGUAUAAAAUAGACAAUUCUAUUUCUCUUGUCAGUGUGAUGAAUCUACUUCUAAAACAGUCUUUUUUUUUUCCUUCAUGAUAAACAGUUAAUUCAUAUCCAGUAAGUUUAUGAAGACUAUUCCACAGACUGUCAUCUGGAUUAACCUCUGUUAAUUACCACUGAAAUGUUGGGUUUUCUGCAUAAAUGGUAAAAUAUUCCUUUAGAGAAUAAAUUGAAAAAUGACUUUGGAGCCUCUGCUGCUGCCAAACCUUUCGGUUCCAUGGUGCAACAUUUAGCCUCUUUGUAAUUUAAUUUUCUACUUUGAAAUGUCACUUGCCAAAUAUCAAUUCAACUCCCCUUACUCUACAUCCAAAAAUCCUAUCAUAAAUGUCACCUACAAUAAGAAAUGGAUUACCUGGAUUUGCGAGAGGGAAUUUCUCAGAGGUGAAUUCUGAAUGAUACAAUAUUAUUUUUACUCCAUUAAAAUGUUCACAUGAUUUGCACAAUGAUUCUAUUUCCACAAUGUACAUCUAAAUCCAUGGAUCUCUGUAUUAUUUCGAUGUGGGUUAUAUGUGAUUCAAGUUUAGCUUUCAGGUAAACUGAGAUUCCUAUAUCAACUCUAGUUUAGUUGAAAUUUGGCAUAAAUCAUAUACUAUUUUUGACCACUGGCACAAACUAUUGGACAAAUUAUUGUUUUAUUUUUUCUGUAAAAAUUGAUUGACUUUCUAAAUUUUUCCAGUGCUGUGAUUUCUUUUGGAAGAACACUAAAGUAAGACCUAUUCAGAGGUCAAUUUCUGUUCUUCAAAGAGUGACUUUAAGUUAUUUAAACCCUCAGGGAUUCUGAAAUAGGAUAUAGUAUAAAAUAUUUCAGUGGUGCAAUUUUCCAUCAAUAAAAGGGAUGUACUCAUACUCAC
RNAcentral lists this long non-coding RNA (4757 nucleotides) under Sus scrofa (pig). RNAcentral's name for it is "lncRNA (ENSSSCG00000054821.1)". The record is from RNAcentral. Lineage: Eukaryota; Metazoa; Chordata; Mammalia; Artiodactyla; Suidae.